Megalobrama amblycephala (Wuchang bream) is the source of this 597-nucleotide long non-coding RNA. RefSeq lists it as uncharacterized. The transcript has 4 exons. NCBI's taxonomy places the organism in Eukaryota, Metazoa, Chordata, Actinopteri, Cypriniformes, Xenocyprididae. The record is from RefSeq and is a predicted model, not a curated record.
GAUUGACAGUACCCGUUCACUUUUCUUCUAAGAACAGCUUGGACAUUAUGCUGAAUAUAUGGGCAGCAGUUUAGAGCCCAGAGCUGAGGACUACUGUUAAAUCAAUCAGCUCAGAAUGAGAGGAAAGGAGGGGAACCUCAUACUGGGUACAGCUACUGUUCCAAAGCACACACCAUGACUUUUUCCAACACACUGUUCUAUUUCAGUGUUCCAGCACUGUACUUUUGAGAUUUUGCUGAUGAGACCCCCUUUACACCAGGAUGCAAUCGAACACCACAAGGACAAACAGAGGCAGACAGAGAGAGAGAGAGAACAUUCGACAGAACCGUGACUCCGGACCCCUGGGACGCCCUCCUGCUGAAGAUGUGAGACUCGGAGGUUAUUUUAAGCAGCACGUCGGACCUGGUUCUGAAUACAGAGAGAGCUCAGGGGUAAAGAGACGAGGUGAGAGGACAAAGACAGCAGGAAGCGGUGGUUUUCUGAUAAGAGUCUAUCAGAUAGAAGCACUAGACUGGUCACUGUCUGGUCUGGAGAGAGCUGUGAGGAAGUCAUCAAGCCAUAAGCACAGCGGGGGUGAGAGACACGGGCUGAUAAGGA